Molecule: ribosomal RNA, 420 nt
Filed under: bacterium
Lineage: Bacteria
Description: partial 16S ribosomal RNA
Rfam family: Bacterial small subunit ribosomal RNA
Source: RNAcentral
UGGGGGAUAUUGCACAAUGGGCGAAAGCCUGAUGCAGCGACGCCGCGUGGGGGAUGAAGGCUUUCGGGUUGUAAACCUCUUUCGCUAUCGAACAAGGCCCGCUUAGGGUGGGUUGAGGGUAGGUGGAGAAGAAGCGCCGGCUAACUACGUGCCAGCAGCCGCGGUAAUACGUAGGGCGCGAGCGUUGUCCGGAAUUAUUGGGCGUAAAGGGCUUGUAGGCGGCUUGUUGCGCCUGCUGUGAAAACGCGGGGCUUAACUUCGCGCGUGCAGUGGGUACGGGCAGGCUUGAGUGGGGUAGGGGUGACUGGAAUUCCAGGUGUAGCGGUGGAAUGCGCAGAUAUCUGGAGGAACACCGAUGGCGAAGGCAGGUCACUGGGCCAUUACUGACGCUGAGGAGCGAAAGCAUGGGGAGCGAACAGG